Molecule: ribosomal RNA, 253 nt
Filed under: uncultured bacterium
Lineage: Bacteria
Description: partial 16S ribosomal RNA
Rfam family: Bacterial small subunit ribosomal RNA
Source: RNAcentral
UACAGAGGGGGCAAGCGUUAUUCGGAAUUAUUGGGCGUAAAGGGCGCGUAGGCGGCCUGACAAGUGGAAGGUGAAAUCCCUCGGCUUAACCGAGGAACUGCCCUCCAAACUGUUUGGCUUGAGACCGGGAGAGGUGAGUGGAAUUCCCAGUGUAGCGGUGAAAUGCGUAGAUAUUGGGAAGAACACCGGUGGCGAAGGCGGCUCUCUGGACCGAGACUGACGCUGAGGCGCGAAAGCGUGGGGAGCAAACAGG